GAGAGAGAGAGAGAGAUCAUUAUUUCCUCUCUAGGAUGGUUUAUGCGGCCAGAUUAUGUAACAUAAUAUCAAUGAAACAUUUAUUAUAAAAUAGCUUGUAUGGAGGAAAUUUAUUGGAAAUUAAUUCCAAACUUGUGUGUGCAAAGUGAUGUUAUUUAAUAUCUUGCAUUUUUAAAAAAAAUAAAUGGUCUUCAGAUUAGAGGUCUUUCUUCUAUCUUGAGAGAGAGAGUAGUUGGACAAGAAAAGAGAAGAAAUUGCAGAAGUAAAAAGGGCUUACAUUUUCCUUGUAGAAAGAUUUCUUUAGGCUAAUAGGCUGAUUGAAAGGUCUCAUGUUGUCUCUCAGCCAUGGAUUUCAUUUCAAUCACUUCAUUUUGGGCAGAAUUAUGAAGCAAAAAUAAUAAAUUAGGGGCAAUAAUAUCAAUGAUCUGAAAAUAUAAUUGGCUAUCAAGGUCCUGCAAACCUACUGUAAUUGAAACAUUACUUGUAACAGAAUUUUGGUAAUUGUAGUAAUUUAGUCACCAGCCAAGUUAAUUUUCCAUGCUCAACAUGCACUAAUUGAAGAUAACGGUGGGCUUGAAGAUUUGGGACAAAUUGUUGACAAGAACAAGUAGUCUUACCAUCAAUAAUUUGAUUUAGUGACCAGCAACUAAAGGAAUGCAUUCAGAGAUGAAUGUAAGGCACUGUUCACCUUGAUGAGAAACAAAGGAAGACUUGGAAACUAACCAUUCUAAUGAACGCCAAUAUUCGCAAGAUGUUGGAAGUAGCAGGGAUGACAUAAGAUUCUCAUGAUUUCAUUGAACUUUAGGCUUUUCUAUGCUGCAAACUAUUGAUUUUAUUGGGGUUAAUUAUAUCUAUUAUACUAUUGCUCCAUAAUUGGCAACUAUUGUUAAUCUGAUGACAGUUCAAGCAAAGGUGUUUGUGGUGAAUUACUUGAAGAAAUUGCAGCUAAUACUAUAUUUGAAAUAUUUGUUCUUUUUUGGCUUGAGAGAUUACAAGUUCAAGCAAUCAACUUGAGGGUGAAUUUUCAUCAAGUAGACGGGUCUGAUGCAUGGGUUCUACAAACCUGCUAUAAUUAAAAUAUUAUUAAUAAUAAUUGUAGUAGUUUAGUUGGUUUAUCUCUUAUUUCCUUGUAUUUAAGGUACUCCUAGAGCUUUUAUCAUUCCUAUUUUAUCUCAAAUUGCUGAUCUCAAGUGGUCAGGCGUUGUCUGUUUGGCAUUAUUGUUUGAGUUGCUAUCAAGGAAAAACAUUAUCUUAAAAAUGUUCAUUAGAGAGCUUUAAAAUUUGGUUAUAAUUUAAAUUUGACAUGUUUUAGUUAUAAUAACUUCAAAAUAGCAUUUUCUCAAAAAAAAAAAAACUUCAAAAUAGCAAAACAACUAUUUCAAAAUGCUUUUUCCAACAUCCAUCUAAAAAUUGCUUUUCCAACAAAGUAGUUUCAUUCUCAAUGCCAAACAGGCUCAAGUAUCUAGCUAUUUUCUGCCCUUCCCUCCCCAUCAAUUUUCCCUUUUGGCCAAUCUAAGAAGUUCAGUUGUAUGCAUGUGAACUGAUUUCUGACCAUAGUUAUAUUAUUAGUGGUGCUGGAACAGAAUUUGUUUGUAGUCAGAAUGAAGAAAUCUAGCAUGCAGUUGCAGUUUCAUCAAAUGCCUGGUUCCCACCAGCCCCUUACCUUUGUAAAAUUGUCCAAAUAUAAUUUUCUACUCUUAUAAAUAUGGAUUUUGUGUGUAAUAUUAAGGAGAGAUUCUAAUUAAAUAAAAUUUUAGUUUGUUCACCUUGUCGUGUAUUCUAGAAUUCAUUUUUCUUUGUACAUUUAAGGAUGAUCGAGGUUUAGUCAUGUUCCAGUCAUGUCUAUUGCUCUUGCAUCCUUCAUCACUUAUGGACACAUAAUAGGGUGUUGUAGGCCUGGCUGCUGAAGUACUGAUAGAGCCUUGCGUAAGGGAGUAGAUGGUAGUCUGAAUAAAUAUCCAAACCAAAUUGUAAAAUUAGGUUCAUAAAUUUUAAAACCAAAUUAAACUAUUUAACUCAAGGAACACAACCAAACCAAACUAAAACAUAAUGUUAUUACUAUUAUCUUGUUCUUAAAAUAGUUUUGGGUUAGGAAAUGAGGUUCUCUCUUGGGCUAAAGUAACAGUAUAUACUGCUUGCAAUAUAACUUGUGUUUACCUCAAAAAAAUAAAAGGGAAAAUAUUUCAUAAAUAUUCUGAAUGAAUCCCACUAAGGAACCUUGGAUUGUUACAUUGAUACAUAUUUACUGCUUAUGGGUGCUAUACAAAUCUCAUUAGCUUUCAUACCAUGGUGUGUAGGGUGUAUUUAUUUAUUUGGUGGGGUAUUGCAUAUUGUUUCCUCAAUUUGCUUGCUUGUUUGUCUAUCUACAGUAUAUGUUUGCAUGUACUUCAGUUUCAUUCUUAUCAGGUAACUUUAUGAGAAAUUGCAUAUGUUGUUGUGUUGAAACCUUCUACAAAUAACAGAAAUGUAAUUAAAUAAAAGGAUGUGACUGGGUGUUCUCUUUUUGUUGCUUAUUUUCUUUCUUGCUUUUGUUGGUACUUGCUGAAUAGCUUGGUAAGAGAUAGCAGUGUUGGAUUCAAGACUCACUUUUUGUUAAGUUACCCUUGCCCCUCGCCCCUUUUCUUCCUUCUGAAUGAAAUCAAUAUAUGUGUGAGUGAAUUCUAUUCAAAUUUAUAUGUGCUUAGUCAUCCACCUUGAUUGCUUGUACGUUUUGUUUGUUUCAGGGUUUUGUUUCAGCAGUGAGUA
This 2745-nucleotide unclassified non-coding RNA is filed under the name Hevea brasiliensis (rubber tree). Lineage: Eukaryota; Viridiplantae; Streptophyta; Magnoliopsida; Malpighiales; Euphorbiaceae. The record is from RNAcentral.